AAUAUAAUGCCUGAACAAAGGGUAGUUUCGAUAGAACUAAUAACGUGUAUUUACUUCACUUAUAUUA
This 67-nucleotide transfer RNA is filed under the name Engaewa subcoerulea. RNAcentral's name for it is "tRNA-Ile". Lineage: Eukaryota; Metazoa; Arthropoda; Malacostraca; Decapoda; Parastacidae. The record is from RNAcentral.